Molecule: ribosomal RNA, 398 nt
Filed under: uncultured bacterium
Lineage: Bacteria
Description: partial 16S ribosomal RNA
Rfam family: Bacterial small subunit ribosomal RNA
Source: RNAcentral
AAUAUUGGUCAAUGGAGGCAACUCUGAACCAGCCAUGCCGCGUGAAUGAUGAAGGUCUUAGGAUUGUAAAAUUCUUUCACCGGGGACGAUAAUGACGGUACCCGGAGAAGAAGCCCCGGCUAACUUCGUGCCAGCAGCCGCGGUAAUACGAAGGGGGCUAGCGUUGCCCGGAAUUACUGGGCGUAAAGGGCGCGUAGGCGGAUCGUUAAGUCAGAGGUGAAAUCCCAGGGCUCAACCCUGGAACUGCCUUUGAUACUGGCGAUCUUGAGUAUGAGAGAGGUAUGUGGAACUCCGAGUGUAGAGGUGAAAUUCGUAGAUAUUCGGAAGAACACCAGUGGCGAAGGCGACAUACUGGCUCAUUACUGACGCUGAGGCGCGAAAGCGUGGGGAGCAAACAG